GACGAACGCUGGCGGCGUGCUUAACACAUGCAAGUCGAACGGAAAGGCCCUGCUUUUGUUGGGUGCUCGAUUGGCGAACGGGUGAGUAACACAUGAGUAACCUGCCCCUGACUGUGGGAUAACUUCAGGAAACAGGGGCUAAUACCGGGUAGGAUCUCCUGCUGCGUGGGGGGGGUUGGAGAGUUUCGGCGGUUGGGGAUGGACGCGAUGCUUAUGAGCUUGUUGGUGGGGUAGUGGCGUACGAAGGGUUUGACGGGUAGCCGGCCUGAGAGGUUGAACGGGCACAAUGGGACUGAGAGACGGAGCAGACUGGAACGGGAGGCAGAAGUGGGGAAUAUUGCACAAUGAGCCGGAGCCUGAUGCAGCAGCGCCGGGUGCGGGAUGCCGGCCUUCGGGUUGUAAACAGAUUUCGACGGUGCCGAAGAGUGAGUGACGGUACUGGGUAAAGAAGCACCGGCUAACUACGUG
RNAcentral lists this ribosomal RNA (468 nucleotides) under uncultured bacterium. RNAcentral's name for it is "partial 16S ribosomal RNA". It matches the Rfam family "Bacterial small subunit ribosomal RNA", at positions 28 to 507 of the family's 1533-position model. The record is from RNAcentral.